GACGAACGCUGGCGGCGUGCUUAACACAUGCAAGUCGAACGGAAAGGCCCUGCUUUUGUGGGGUGCUCGAGCGGCGAACGGGUGAGUAACACGUGAGUAACCUGCCCUUGACUUUGGGAUAACUUCAGGAAACUGGGGCUAAUACCGGAUAGGAGCUCCCGCUGCAUGGUGGGGGUUGGAAAGUUUCGGCGGUUGGGGAUGGACUCGCGGCUUAUCAGCUUGUUGGUGGGGUAGUGGCUUACCAAGGCUUUGACGGGUAGCCGGCCUGAGAGGGUGACCGGCCACAUUGGGACUGAGAUACGGCCCAGACUCCUACGGGAGGCAGCAGUGGGGAAUAUUGCACAAUGGGCGGAAGCCUGAUGCAGCAACGCCGCGUGCGGGAUGACGGCCUUCGGGUUGUAAACCGCUUUCGCCUGUGACGAAGCGUGAGUGACGGUAAUGGGUAAGGAAGCACCGGCUAACUACGUG
RNAcentral lists this ribosomal RNA (468 nucleotides) under uncultured bacterium. RNAcentral's name for it is "partial 16S ribosomal RNA". It matches the Rfam family "Bacterial small subunit ribosomal RNA", at positions 28 to 507 of the family's 1533-position model. The record is from RNAcentral.